AUUGAACGCUGGCGGCAUGCUUUACACAUGCAAGUCGAACGGCAGCGCGGGGCAACCUGGCGGCGAGUGGCGAACGGGUGAGUAAUACAUCGGAACGUACCCAGAAGUGGGGGAUAACGUAGCGAAAGUUACGCUAAUACCGCAUACGUUCUACGGAAGAAAGUGGGGGACCUUCGGGCCUCAUGCUUUUGGAGCGGCCGAUGUCUGAUUAGCUAGUUGGUGAGGUAAAGGCUCACCAAGGCGACGAUCAGUAGCUGGUCUGAGAGGACGACCAGCCACAACUGGACCGGAGACCCGGCCCGGCUCCUACGGGGAGCAACCGGUGGGAAAUUUUGACCAUGGGGCGAAGGCUGAAUCCACAAAGCCGCCGUGGUGGAAAAAGGCUUCCGGUUUUUAAACUCUUUUGUCAGGGAAGAAACGGCUGAGGAUAAUACCUUCGGCUAAUGACGGUACCUGAAGAAUAAGCACCGGCUAACUACGUG
RNAcentral lists this ribosomal RNA (482 nucleotides) under uncultured bacterium. RNAcentral's name for it is "partial 16S ribosomal RNA". It matches the Rfam family "Bacterial small subunit ribosomal RNA", at positions 30 to 507 of the family's 1533-position model. The record is from RNAcentral.